This 68-nucleotide transfer RNA is filed under the name Ruidocollaris convexipennis. Its description in RNAcentral is "tRNA-Val". Lineage: Eukaryota; Metazoa; Arthropoda; Insecta; Orthoptera; Tettigoniidae. The record is from RNAcentral.
CAAAAUAAAGCUUAAAGUAAGUGUUUCAUUUACAUUGAAGGGAUUCUGUGCAAUUCAGGUUAUUUUGA